GACGAACGCUGGCGGCGUGCCUAAUACAUGCAAGUAGGACGCACAGUUUAUACCGUAGCUUGCUACACCAUAGACUGUGAGUUGCGAACGGGUGAGUAACGCGUAGGUAACCUGCCUAUUGAGGGGGAUAACUAUUGGAAACGAUAGCUAAUACCGCAUAACAGUAUGUAACACAUGUUAGAUGCUUGAAAGAUGCAAUUGCAUCGCUAGUAGAUGGACCUGCGUUGUAUUAGCUAGUAGGUAGGGUAAUGGCCUACCUAGGCAACGAUACAUAGCCGACCUGAGAGGGUGAUCGGCCACACUGGGACUGAGACACGGCCCAGACUCCUACGGGAGGCAGCAGUAGGGAAUCUUCGGCAAUGGGGGGAACCCUGACCGAGCAACGCCGCGUGAGUGAAGAAGGUUUUCGGAUCGUAAAGCUCUGUUGUUAAGGAAGAACGAGUGUGAGAAUGGAAAGUUCAUAC
RNAcentral lists this ribosomal RNA (464 nucleotides) under Streptococcus anginosus. RNAcentral describes it as "bacterial SSU rRNA". It matches the Rfam family "Bacterial small subunit ribosomal RNA", at positions 28 to 469 of the family's 1533-position model. Lineage: Bacteria; Bacillati; Bacillota; Bacilli; Lactobacillales; Streptococcaceae. The record is from RNAcentral.